This 1526-nucleotide long non-coding RNA is filed under the name Piliocolobus tephrosceles (Ugandan red Colobus). RNAcentral describes it as "lncRNA (ENSPTEG00000002226.1)". Lineage: Eukaryota; Metazoa; Chordata; Mammalia; Primates; Cercopithecidae. The record is from RNAcentral.
CAACAGGAGCAACAACAACAACAACAACAACAACAACAACAACAACAACAAAAGAAACGACAAAUAAAUAACGACCGAAGUGAUAUAAGUGCAUUAAGCAAACAAAACAUACAUUGUAGCUCCUCUCCCAAAUCUUCCCAAAUUGAAGAAUAUAAGUUAAACAAAAUAAAAACAUACAUAAAAACGUUUGUAAAAGAAUAUCAACAAGGAGACAAAUUACAACUUGAUGAUGUAUUAACAAAUCAAAAUGAUAUUGUAUUCAAACAACUAAAAGGAAUAAAAGAAAAAAUAAAUACAUAUAAUAAAAAAUUUAUAAGAAUUCCUAUUUUGAUAGUAAACCAAACAAUUAAUAAUAAUAAAAGGUAUUAUAUUAUAUGUCCAGGUAAUAAAAAAAGUUCUGUUUUAUUCCAGUUAUUAGUACGUAAUGGAUCCAUACCAAUAGGACUAAAAGAAAGAUCAAAAAUUUUAAAAUGUUAUGAUUAUUUAUGUUUUCCUAAAGAUUUACCAGAUAGUUUUGGAGGACAUGUAUAUAAUAAUAUAAAAGAAAAAACAACAAAAAAAAUAUAUUUCAAAAAACCACUUAAUAAAAGAUUAAAUUAUUAUUGUUUAGGAAUAAAUAAUCCAUUUAAUUACUCAUGGUGUUGUAUAUAUCCAUAUAAAAAUAAUAUAAAAUAUAUUCGGUAUACUGACACAUAUAAACAAUUUCUUAUUCAAACUUUUUUACGACGUUUUGUGUUUAUAUCAUUAAAAAAAUUAGAUCCUAUUAUGAACUUUGAUGAUUUUAAUAUUUUUAUGCAAGAGUUUAAAAAAAAGUUUUUAGUUUUUGCAAAUUAUUUUAUAUCUGUGUAUGUACAUCCUUACAAGGAUGGGGUACCAUAUCGAUUGGCUAACAUAUGUUCAUUAAACACGAAUCAGUUAGUUAGGUUUUUUACGGAAUAUAUGGACACGAAAAAAAUACAAGAGUGGAUAAUACAUAAACGAAUAACAAACAAACAUAAAGGGAUUGUAAAAAUAAACAAAAUGAAAGAAAAAGUUAUACAUAAAUAUAAAUACAAAAAAUUGAAAAAACAAAAUAAAAAGGAAAAUAUUAACAAUAAUAAUGAAAAAAGCUGUUAUACUUUAAACACAAAUGUAGAAAAUGAAGAAAAUGGACAAACUUGUCACAGUGAUGGUGAUGAGAAAAAUAAAAAAGAAAUAAUUUUAUCUUCGAAAAAAAUAAUUGGUUAUGUUUCCAGCGGGGGUCACGUGUUAUCAAAAGGAUGUGGAUAUGCAGUGGGUCAUGUUUCUUUUUAUUUCCUUUUAGAAAACUUGUUGAAUCAUAUAUUUAUUUUGAAAUUAUUAAGUUCAAAUAAAAUUAAGAUAAAUCCGAAUGGGAAAGAAUUUCCAUUUGUAGCAUUAUUUCGAAACAAUAAUUCUGUAAAUUACUUUUACGCUUGGUUCCGUUUGGUAACAGAGGACAGAUACCUUCCCUUUUGAGCAAAAAAAAAAAAAAUAAAUAAAUAAUAAAAUUAUAAAAUUAUAAAUGA